Molecule: microRNA, 21 nt
Filed under: Bos taurus (domestic cattle)
Lineage: Eukaryota; Metazoa; Chordata; Mammalia; Artiodactyla; Bovidae
Description: bta-miR-10176-5p
Source: miRBase by way of RNAcentral
AGGAGGAGAGAGCUGCAAGUU